Long non-coding RNA from Gasterosteus aculeatus aculeatus (three-spined stickleback), 1600 nucleotides. Lineage: Eukaryota; Metazoa; Chordata; Actinopteri; Perciformes; Gasterosteidae. The record is from Ensembl.
UGUUGCCACGGUGGAAUGAUUUAUGCCAGUGGUCGAUCUAAAUCACAAAAUAAAACGAUUUAUUUUCUUUACAGUUUACAGAGAUCCUUUUGUGAGAAACACCUUGGGCUGAUGGCCAUCUCGAUACUUUCAUUUAACCCUUACUGGGUGAUUUGUCUGUAUUAACAAGCAGAACUCGAUGCUACAAUAGCAAAUGGGGGUGUGUUGUGACAUGGCUAAACACAUCUCUAUAGAACAUAAUGUGUCCAGUUAAGGAACCGGCUUCUGUUGCAAAAUAAGAACCUUUACCUCAUAGAUGGAACAGACUUCUAAGCUUAUUACAGUGUUUUUCAAUCGCUAACAAGCGUUUGUCCAAACAGUUGUCACAUUUUCAAAACUCUAAACACAAUUAACACAGCAUCAGUGUUUUGUGGCCAUACCAUUCACACAUUUCAUGUCGUUUUUACACAAUAUUCAGUCAGUGAACACAUGUCCACAAUGCUUACAUUUUUCUUAACAGACAAGCCAUACUUCCCAACAAAACGAUGGAUUGUUUUAGUAGUAUUUACAAAUGUUAAAACACAAUCCAAUACAGAUACAGUAUAAAAACCUUUGCUUCUGCGAUGAUAUCAGUUCAAAAACAAUAUAUCUCAGCUGAUAAUGAACAAACUAUUGAAUAAUUGACACACAGCUGAUUUAUGUUGGGUAAAUUGGGCCAACAACAGCUGAUUCCAGUCUGGCUUAUUUAAGGAGGACUUUGAGGAGUGAUAUUUUUGGAAAUAGAAACAGAAAAAGACAAACACUGUAAUAGGUGCAGGUCCAGUGAGAGAUGUAGAAGGAGGUGCAGGAAGAGGAGUUCUUUUCUGCAUGGAGGUGGAAGGUUUAUGACCAUCAGCCACAUGACCAGAUGUCCUUCCUUGAAGCCAUGGAUGCUGGCUGCAGGGACAUCACAGUUCAAGAUUGCCAAGGGUGGAUCCGACAUACCAAGCGGUUUUAUCCCAGGUGCAUCGCCUUAGAUGAUGUCAGAUGUGAUGUUGACAAAAACAUGUGGCCAAACCCUGAAGAUCGCAGGGAUUAGAUGCAUACAUUGUUUGCCAUUUUUAGUUCCCCCCCAUUUUCAUCUGGGCUUUUGGCUGUUUUUUUCAGAAUGCUUGUGUGUUUCAUGGAUAUUUUGUUAAAAUAAAAUAAACCCUUUCUGUUCUAUUAUACUGUUUCUACUGUACCUUCUUUGGUAAACAGUUAAGAAAAAAUAACUGUUUUACUUUUUACUGGAAUGCGUUUGAAUGUGAACAUUACUGUACAUGUGCGCAUACGGUUCCAAACCAAUAAAUUUAGUGUAAAUGGUGGAUUGCAUGUUAACUGAAACAUAAAAGUCUAUGCAAUUUUUAUAAUGUCAACAAUAGCCAGAAUUUUGAAACCUGGUGUACUUCGUUUGACUGCAUGUACCUUGUGAAGUGAAAACAAAUGUUAUUCUUUGACAGAAUAAUUUCAUUUUGAGUCAGAUUUCCAGUGUUUUGGUAAAGUUAGUGUGUGCAGAGAAAGAUGUGUUCUGUUUUGAAAUUAAGAGUUAGUAUAUAUUGAACAAAAUUGGUUUUUGAGAAGAAAAUUAUCAAUUUGUGUC